This 430-nucleotide ribosomal RNA is filed under the name Bacteroidota bacterium. Its description in RNAcentral is "Bacteroidetes bacterium partial 16S ribosomal RNA". It matches the Rfam family "Bacterial small subunit ribosomal RNA", at positions 355 to 776 of the family's 1533-position model. The record is from RNAcentral. Lineage: Bacteria; Pseudomonadati; Bacteroidota.
UAGGGAAUCUUCGGCAAUGGGGGGAACCCUGACCGAGCAACGCCGCGUGAGUGAAGAAGGUUUUCGGAUCGUAAAGCUCUGUUGUUAAGGAAGAACGAGUGUGAGAAUGGAAAGUUCAUACUGUGACGGUAUCUAACCAGAAAGCCACGGCUAACUACGUGCCAGCAGCCGCGGUAAUACGUAGGUGGCAAGCGUUGUCCGGAUUUAUUGGGCGUAAAGCGAGCGCAGGCGGUCAAUUAAGUCUGAUGUGAAAGCCCCCGGCUCAACCGGGGAGGGUCAUUGGAAACUGGUUGACUUGAGUGCAGAAGAGGAGAGUGGAAUUCCAAGUGUAGCGGUGAAAUGCGUAGAUAUAUGGAGGAACACCAGUGGCGAAGGCGACUCUCUGGUCUGUAACUGACGCUGAGGCUCGAAAGCGUGGGUAGCAAACAGG